This 775-nucleotide ribosomal RNA is filed under the name uncultured Neocallimastigales. Its description in RNAcentral is "partial large subunit ribosomal RNA". It matches the Rfam family "Eukaryotic large subunit ribosomal RNA", at positions 20 to 621 of the family's 3401-position model. The record is from RNAcentral. Lineage: Eukaryota; Fungi; Neocallimastigomycota; Neocallimastigomycetes; Neocallimastigales.
UACUAGAGUAGCACUCGCAUAUCAAUAAGCGGAGGAAAAGAAACUAACAAGGAUUCCCCUAGUAACGGCGAGUGAAGCGGGAAGAGCUCAAAUUUGAAAUCUUAAAGGGUUUCCCUUUACGAAUUGUAGUUUAAAGAAGUGUUUUCUGUUGAGGUUUUGGUAAAAGUUCUUUGGAAUAGGACAUCAUAGAGGGUGAGAAUCCCGUAUUUGACCUUUACUUUCAACUUUGUGAUACACUUUCAAAGAGUCGGAUUGUUUGGGAAUGCAGUCCAAAAUGGGUGGUAAAUUUCAUCUAAAGCUAAAUAUUAGGCGAGAGACCGAUAGCGAACAAGUACCGUGAGGGAAAGAUGAAAAGAACUUUGAAAAGAGAGUUAAACAGUACGUGAAAUUGUCAAAAGGGAAGCGUUUGACACCAGUGUUGUUUUUCUGAAAAUCAAUUAAAGAACUGUUUAUGCUAAGUUGUUUAGACUUUAUCAGCUAUCUGCUUAGUUUUGAGCUUUUCUUUAAUGCACUUUUCAGUUAACAAGUCAACAUCAAUUUCUUUUGCUGUAAAAAAGCUUGAGGAAGGUGGCUUGAGAUUCGUCUUAAGUGUUUAUAGCCUCUUGCCUAUGCAGUCGGAGAGAUUGAGGUCUGCAGCGUAGAUCCUUCGGGGCUAAAUGCAUUUGUGCUAAGUUAUAGCAUUUUAUAGACAACUUGUUGACUAUGAUUUGUCUUGUAGCUUACUCGCUUAUGUUAUUUUACCUACGCUUAGGAUGUUGAACUCUAUCACACACAG